GUGAGGAAUAUUGGUCAAUGGGCGAGAGCCUGAAACAGCCAAGUCGCGUGAAGGAAGAAGGAUCUAUGGUUCGUAAACUUCUUUUGCAGGGGAAUAAAGUGCAGGACGUGUCCUGUUUUGUAUGUACCCUGAGAAUAAGGAUCGGCUAACUCCGUGCCAGCAGGCGCGGUAAUACGGAGGAUCCGAGCGUUAUCCGGAUUUAUUGGGUUUAAGGGGUGCGUAGGUGGUUUGAUAAGUCAGCGGUGAAAGUGUGCAGCUUAACUGUAAAAAUGCCGAUGAAACUGUCGGACUUGAGUGUAGAUGAGGUAGGCGGAAUGCGUGGUGUAGCGGUGAAAUGCAUAGAUAUCACGCAGAACUCCGAUUGCGAAGGCAGCUUACUAAGCUACAACUGACACUGAAGCACGAAAGCGUGGGGAUCAAACAGGAUUAGAUACCCGAGUAGUCC
RNAcentral lists this ribosomal RNA (445 nucleotides) under uncultured bacterium. RNAcentral describes it as "partial 16S ribosomal RNA". It matches the Rfam family "Bacterial small subunit ribosomal RNA", at positions 354 to 796 of the family's 1533-position model. The record is from RNAcentral.